Long non-coding RNA from Leptidea sinapis, 574 nucleotides. RefSeq lists it as uncharacterized. The transcript has 3 exons. The record is from RefSeq and is a predicted model, not a curated record. Lineage: Eukaryota; Metazoa; Arthropoda; Insecta; Lepidoptera; Pieridae.
UAUUGGUAUGGUGAUUUUUUUUCAGGUAUUUCAAAUAAAUUAGAAGCAAAACUUUGGUUUAACGAUUAUGUAUAGUGAAGAAACAAUAAUGAACUACAAAAAUGUGAAUGGCUAUUACUUGACUUUGAAGAUAGAAGAGAAUCAUAGUUCUCCUAAUUCACAGAGAUAUACUAUAUCAUAUAAAAAUGAGAAAAUUAGUAGCUCCUGGGGCAUUGCAUCCUUAUUGCUAGCAAUACUUUUUAAUCUUGUGGCUGCAAUUUAUUUGAAUAUAACCCUAAUUGGGGUUGGGGUUCUAAUUGUUGUAGUGCUGACUCUGGUCUUCUCUUGGUUCACACACAGUGUUCAAUAUGAAAGCUUAUUAGUCAUACCAACUGUAGGUAUUCAGAGUUCAGUCAAAUACGUAGUAGGAAGAGUUGACAACUUUAUACCAUGGUCCAGUAUUGAUGAUAUUAUUAUCAAUGAAGUUAUUGAAUUUAACAGAGUGCUGUAUCAUUUAACAAUUCUAGUGAAAACUGUUAGUGAUAAUACUGGUAGUAAAGAAAAACAUGAUGUCAAACUUAUAACGCUAUUUAAG